This is a non-coding RNA of Clostridiaceae bacterium BRH_c20a, 248 nucleotides long. Lineage: Bacteria; Bacillati; Bacillota; Clostridia; Eubacteriales; Clostridiaceae. The record is from Rfam.
AAAAAAACUGUGAAAGGGAAUAGUAAGUGAAUUUAAGCUAGGUUCAGAGAGUAAGGUCAUGGCUGGGAACCUUAUCCGACGCUUUUCACUGAAUGGGCCCUGGAGUUGCAAGCUGAACAAAGAGUAGGCUGGAACGGGUGCUCCCGUUAUAGAGCAAAGCCUUUGAUAUCAAUAUAUCGGUGGCAGAUUAAGUGAGACCAUUAUGGUGGUCUAACUAGGGUGGUACCGCGUCUAAACUCGUCCCUUUU